RNAcentral lists this ribosomal RNA (495 nucleotides) under uncultured bacterium. RNAcentral describes it as "partial 16S ribosomal RNA". It matches the Rfam family "Bacterial small subunit ribosomal RNA", at positions 28 to 507 of the family's 1533-position model. The record is from RNAcentral.
GACGAACGCUGGCGGCGUGCCUAAUACAUGCAAGUAGAACGCUGAAGGCCUAGUUUGAUCUUCCGCGUGAGUUGCGAACGGGUGAGUAACGCGUAGGAAACCUGCCUGGUAGCGGGGUAUAACUGGUGGACACGAUAGCUAAUUCCGCAUAACAGUAGAUGAUGCAUGACAUUUGCUUAAAAGGUGCAAGUGAACCACUACCAGAUGGACCUUCGUUGUGUUGGGUAGUUGGUGGGGUAACGCCUCUCCAAGGCGUCGAUACAUAGCCGACCUGAGAGGGGGAGCGGGCCCGAUGGGAUGGAGAGACGGCCCAGACUCGUGCGGGAGGCAGCAGUAGGGAGUGUUGGGCAAGGGGCGGAAGUCGGACCGAGCAACGCCGCGUGAGUGAGGAACGUUUCCGGGGCGUAGAGGGCUGUCGUAAGGGAAGAACGAGUGUGAGAGUGGGAAGUUCACGCGGUGACGGUAGUGGACCAGAAAGGGACGGCUAACUACGUG